UUACGGCCACAACACAUUGAAACACCGGUUCCCGUGCGAUAACUGAAGUUAAGCAACGUCGAGGCAGGUUAGUACCUAGAUGGGUGACAGCUUAAGAAUACCAGGUGUUGUAA
Molecule: non-coding RNA, 113 nt
Organism: Acanthosepion pharaonis
Lineage: Eukaryota; Metazoa; Mollusca; Cephalopoda; Sepiida; Sepiidae
Source: the annotation of a GenBank genome assembly